RNAcentral lists this long non-coding RNA (6789 nucleotides) under Solanum tuberosum (potato). RNAcentral's name for it is "long non-coding RNA (STUB_LNC011678)". Lineage: Eukaryota; Viridiplantae; Streptophyta; Magnoliopsida; Solanales; Solanaceae. The record is from RNAcentral.
UUUUUGUCAUUGUUUAACUUGAUAAACUCAUUAAAUAAAGAAAAACCUUGGGCCGCCGCCUCCCACCGCCAAGGAGUUAAAGGCAAUUCUGAACAAAUAGUAAUUGGAAUAAUAUGGCUGCCGGUCAGCCUUCUUCUAGUGCUGGUCUGGCAUUACAUUCCAAUACUUCAUUUCCCAUUCUUAAACAUCCCAAUGCACCAAGCCAUCAAAUCGUCCCUACUAAUUUGCCUAUCGAUUUUAUAGGUAAGGAAUUUGGCACAAAAAGAGAGCAAUUUUCUAAUAUUCUAAAACCUAAAAGUGAUGUAGAAAAGUUUCAGAGUUUUGUUGAAUCAAUUCCCAUAAAGAAAAUCCAGUACAAAGAAGGAAUCCCUAGAGUGGUGUGACAAAAGAGAAGGUGGAUAAAAUGAAUAUUAUAGAAAACCUUCAAUACGCAGUUUUGGGGAAAUUCUUCUAUGGGUGGCCUGAAAUAGAAUAAUCGAGAAUUCAAAUCUCAAAACAGUGCAAUAUUAAAGGAGAAUGUCAAAUUGGAUUGCCAAGAAGCAGACAUAUUCUAAUAAGAUUUAAUCGUCAGGAGGAUUUCAAUAAUAUGAUGUUUAAACCUACUUAUUGUAUAGUGGCUAAGGAUGGUUAUUCUUAUAUGACGAGACCUCUCAUCUAUGAUGCAAAAUUCAACACAGAAGAAGAGAUAACACAGGCGAUGGCAUGGAUUUCCUUUCUGGAUUCAAAACCAACAUACUUUGUUAAGGAAUCUAUGUUCUCUCCUACUUCAGCAGUUGGGAAGCCACUACAUCUUGAUAUAGCUACUAUAAACAAAACUCGACCUAAUUGCGCGAAGGUCAAGGUACAAGUGGAUUUGCUUGCUUAACUACGUAAGUUUGUCGAAUUGGAAGUGGGGAAUGAAAAUACAAAGAUCUCUAGGGUGGAAAGGGUAAAAAUCCAAUACGAUAUGCUCCCAAAAUAUUGCAAACAAUGCAAACUACAGGGACACAUUGAAGCUACUUGUUGGGUUCUUCACCCUGAACUUCAUAAAGUUAUUAAGGAGGCAGUUGGUCCUAAGGAGGGUGAUGGAUGUGAAGAAGUAGAAGUGGAUGUUCCUCAACUAGAAGCUCAUUUAAUAACGAUUGGACGACAUCUCAAGAAAUGACAACCUACAAGGAGAGUUAUAGCUAUUGAUAAACAAAGACUUAACAAAGAAGAAAAUGCAGAGUUGCAUACUAACAAUUCAUUUGCAACAUUACAAGAAGAAAAUACAAAUAAGGAGAUGCAUAUAUCACAUUUAGAAACUCACCAAUAAAUAUUAUGAAUACUCAUGAAGAGCAAAAGGAUGGAGAGGGAGAACAAUAAGAGAAUAUAGCACAAGAAUUAAACACAGAUGAUGAGCAGGACAUGAACAAAGUCACUAUUGCUGAUGGAUCUAAUAUGUUGAGCAGUAACUUGACAAAGCAGGAUGGGGAGAAGAAGGAAAUUGGCCCAGCAGUUGUAGGGGUUGAUAAGCAACAAAAAGUGAUUGAGGUUCCUAUUAUUAAAGGAACAUCUGCUACAAAUCAUGAAGAGAUUGUGAAGCAUUAUGAUGAAGUAGCUGAGAAAAAGAUAAGUGCACCUAAUGGAGGGAAUACUGAACAUGAUCAGCAGAGUCUAAUGAAUAAGGCACUAACAAUAUUACUUGAGGACCCUAUGAAGCAAAAUAAGGGUCUGAUGUUAAUAAAGGAUUUAUCUAAUGUUAUUUAUCAGAUGCCACUACAAGUAGUCCAUCAUAUUGAAGGAAGAUUCCUUCAUAUACAAAAUGAAUACCAACCGAUGGGAAAAUGGUUUCACGGGAUACUGCAAGAGCACUCAUACAUACUAUGCAUGGAAAUUCUAUCCCAAUAUAAGCAUUACAUGCUUUGGUUACUCAUCAGAACAUCAAUCAGGACACUAUAGAGAAUCUGCAAAUAAGCAUAGCAUCAGAAGAAGUAUCAGAAGAUAAAGAGGAAGGGGAAAAAGAUAGCAAUCUGCAAAUUGUUUGUAAAGAGGUUGGUAUAUCUCUCAAGGUGAUUUCAACUAACAGAAAGAUCAAAUCAAGAGGGGACAACAAUAGUGUUGUACCAACAAGGGUUCAGGGUAAGAGGUUGGUCAAAACAUGAUCUAAAUGAGUUACAAAGCCUUAUUCUGAAAUAUUAGGUCUGUUAAAUCUGAGCAGGCCUUUCAUAGAGUUCAAAUGUUACAAAGACACCACAAAUUUGUCCUGGUUUUUUUAAUGGAACCUUUCCAAGAUACUAGGAAUAUUCAAAAAUUCAAAAGGAGGUUGGGGAUGCAAUAUGUGAAUUUUAAUACAAAUGGGCAGAUAUGAAUUUUUGUGAAUCAUCAUAUUCAAGUGGGUGUUAUCUUAGAUUCAGACCAGCAAUUAACCAUAUUAUUAACAUUAAAAGAUGGCACGAAAGUGUUGUCAACUGUGGUGUAUGCUAAAUGCUCUGAUAUAGAAAGAUUAAAUCUAUGGGAUGAUCUAUACUCACUAAGCCUUAACUUCCGAGUUCCAUGGAUGGUGGGAGGCGAUUUCAAUGUUAUAUUGAGUGGGGAAGAAAAGAUAUGAGGGUAGCAUGUUUACCCCAAAAGUAUGAGGAUUUUGCAUGUUGUAUUGGCUCUUGUGAUUUAUCUGAUAUCAAGUUUAUAAGGAACCCAUUCACAUGGUGGAAUGGUAGGGUGAAUGAGGAAUGCAUCUUCAAAAGACUAGAUAGAGUGAUUGUUAAUAAAGCAUUACUCUAUGUAUGUGGUGAUAUUGGCUUACAACACUUAUCUAGGACUGGAUCUGAUCAUGCUCCAUUACUAAUAUCUUGUGACUUUAGUAUUAUACUUGUUGUCAAACCAUUCAAAUUCUUGAAAUUCUGGACUGAAAGAAAAGACUUCAAAGAAGUGGUUUGUCAAAAUUGGAUUGUUGAAGCUGAAGGUGAUAUCUUUAUCCAAUUAAAACACAAACAGAAAAGAACUAAGGCGUCUCUAUCUAAAAGGAAUAAAGAAAAGAUUGGAGAUAUUUUUAACUAGUUGGCUAUUAGGGAAGACAUUGUCAAAAUUAAAGAAGAUAUAUUCCGACAAGAUCCUAAUCCUAGCAACAGAGCUAUUCUGCAAUAGGCUCAUGCUGAAUUGAAACUAUAUUUGCAUCAUGAAGAGGAGUUUUGAAGACAGAAAGCUAGUGUUCAAUGGUUCAAUGAAGGGGAUAGAAACACAAAUUUUUUCCACUGCCUUGUGAAGGGUAGAAAGAAGAAGCUGAAACUUACCAGAAUUCAGAAGGUUGAUGGAACUUGGGCUGAAAUUAUUAAUGAAAUAGCCAAUGAAGGGUCUAUUUUUUUUUAAAACCAAUUCUCUAGAAGGUGUAAUUUUGAAUAUAUGGCCUUGUUGCAGUACAUUCAACCGAAGAUUACUCAAGAAGAGAAUACUUUUGUGAAGAUUUUGCCAAAUGAAGAGGAGAUUAAUAAGGUGGUGUUUGUGCUUAAUCCUGAUAGUGCUUGUGGACCAAAUGGCUUGAAAGGUUGUUUUUACCAAACUUGUUGGGAUAUAGUAGGCCCUGAUAUAAUUAAGGUAAUUCAUGCUUUUUUCUAGGGGGAUACUUUACCAAAGUCUAUUACACAUACUAAUCUGGUCCUAAUACCAAAAAAGGUAGUGAUACAAACCUUUUUUUAUCUUAGACUAAUUAGUCUGGGUAAUUUUCUAAAUUAUUUCAAGAAUUGUUCAUGAUAGAUUAGAAAGAUUCCUGCCAAGAUUACUUAGAAUCAAACUGGUUUUUUAAGGGCAGAAACAUUAUUGAGAAUGUGCUACUUGCUCAAGAAAUUGUAACUGAAGUAAGAAAAAGAGGCAAACCAGAUAAUGUGGUCAUUAAACUGGAUAUGGCUAAGGCAUAUGACAAAAUGGAUUGGAGGUUCCUAAUUAAGGUCGUAGAAAAAAUGGGAUUUGAUGAGGUAUUCUUGGAUAUGAUCUGGAGGAUUAUUACUAAUAACUUGUACUCUUUGUUGAUUAAUGGUCAAGCCUAUGGAUUCUUUCGAUCUAUAGGGGGUGUUAAAUAGGGUGAUCCAUUAUCCUCUGUUUUAUUUAUCCUAUCUUCUGAAGUCUUGACUAGGGCUUUGAAUCACUUGUUCUACAACUAUGAAUUAUAGGGUUAUGGAAUGCAUAAGUGGAGUGAACAAUUGAAUCAUCUUGAUACAAUUAUUUUUGCUAUAGCUGACAAUAGAUCCUUGCAACUUAUUAUGGUAACUAUUCAUAUGUAUGAAGAACAAUCAGGACAACUGAAUAAUAAAGAGAAGAGUUUUUGCUACUUACGCAGCAAGGCAGCUCAGACCUCCAUCCAGGUGGUGCAAGAGGUAAUUGGAGUUGAAAAGGGAUUUGGGGUGUCUAUAGGCCAUGCAAUGAUGAAGAAAGUUCAUUUCUCUGAAUUGAUUCAAAAGAUUCUUAACAAGCUUCAAAUGUGUAAAGGAAAGCUUUUAUCUUUUGGGGGGGAAAGUUGUGUUGAUUAAUCAUGUAUUACAAAGUAUUCCAAUAUAUCUUCUUUCUACUAUUAAUCCUCCUAAAUGUGUGAUCCAUGAUAUACAUAGGAUUUUUUUCUGUAUUCUUAUGGAAUGGCAAAGAAGAAGGAAGAGCUACUCACUGGAUACCUUGGAAAGAUAUUUGUUUGCCUAAGAUAGAGGGAGGUCUGGGUUUCAGAUCUCUAUUUGAUGUUACAAAUGCCUUAUUUUUUAAGCUGUGGUGGAACUUCAGAACCACUAAUUCUCUAUGAUCUCAGUUCCUAUGGAAUAAAUAUUGUAAAAGAUACAUGCCGCAUGUUGUUCAAUGGAAGGGAGGCUCACAAGUAUCGAAGGUUAUGUUGUAGGCUAGAGACUUGUUUGAUCAACAUAUCUUAUGGGAAAUUAAAGGAGGUCACUCUAGUGUUUGGUUUGACAAUUGGACCCAACUUGGGGGCCUUCACUUACAAACGUCUAUUUCUCAUGAUUUUGAUUGAAUCAGUGUAGCAGCUCCUCAAUGAGAAUGGGUGGAAUACUGAUGGGUUAAAUUAGAAUCUUAAUGAAGAAGUGUGCAAUCACAUACAUACUGUACUAGGGUAUAUAACAACUACUAAAAAAAUGAUAAAACUUGGUGGUGGAUAGCGUCUCGGAAGGAUUACAAUAGGAUCAGCAUGGGAGUUGUGUAGAUAUAUAAAAAAUCAUUUACUCAAUAUAAUGAACAUUUGGGAGAAAGGAUUUCCUUUUAAGGUGUCUUUUCUAUUGUGAAGGAUGUGGUUUGGUAGAAUUCCUAUUGGAGAAGUCCUCAUCACAAGGAAAAAUGUGGAUUUUGUUGAAUGUUGUUGCUGCCAUGCUAAGGUACAAGAAACUUUUAUCACUUACUCAUUGAAUGCCCAGAUGCUAAGGCUAUUUAAGAAUAUUUCUCAGAAGCUGCAGGAUUACAUAUUAAUGUAAUGCAGAUUAAUCAAGGACUAGAAGAAUGGUGGAGUGUUGAUUGUGUUUUUAAACUAAAACCCAUUUUUAAAACAGUUCCUACCUUUAUUAUUUGGGAAAUUUGGAAGAGAAGAAAUAUUCUUAUACAUGGGGAAAAGAUGAGUAGGCAAUCCAUGAUGGCAGAAAUUAACAGAAAUCUAUACUUGUUUACCAAGUGUAGAUAUCCAUGGUUGAAGGGUAUCCCUAACAAUUGGCCCUUGAUUGUAAAAUAUAUGGAGGAGUAUGUACCUCUUGUAAGACAUAAGAUGGUUGAGUAGAGUCACCCUCCAAAUGAAAGUUUUAAAUGUAACACUGAUAGAUCUUGUAGAGGAAAUCCUGGACCUCGUUCUAUGGUCUUUUGUGUUAGAAAUGAGUUUGGAGAUUUGGUGUUUGCUGAGUCAAGGCUACUGGAAAGGUGUACUGUUAUUGAAUCUGAUAUUAAGGCUAUUAGAAUAGGGAUUGUAUACUGCCAACAACACAAUCUACUCCCACUAAUUGUAGAAACAAAUUCCCUAAUAGCAUAAACGGUGAAAAAUGGAGUAUGGGAGGUUCCAUGGUCAAUAUCACUAGAUAUUAGACAUGUACAUGGGAUUAUCCAUAGUUGCCAGGUGGAGAUGGCGCAUAUAUUCAGAGAAGGCAACCAAUUGACGAAUUUUUCACUAACUAUGUUGUUAAUUUUGCAGGUACACAAGUGCAACAAUUCAAUAACAACCAAGACAUUCCACAACAAGCAAAGUCAAUCAUUUAUAUAGAAAAAUUACUUGUUCCUAAUAUUCGAAUAAAGAAGAUGCAAAAUAGGAUGUACAAGGUUCCAACCAGUGCAGAUGAAAAUUCAUUCACACAUUCACAGUUGGAGUUGAAACAUAACUAAUAAUUGUUUGUCUUUAACAGUGGUAUUAAUUCAAAUCAGAAUUCAACCUGUUGAGAUGUAUAAAUAAAGGCUAUGAAUCGACAAACAAACCUGAAGAUUAUAGAAGUUGGGAUACUUAACUUGAGUCUCUUUGUUGGAACUGGUCCGAGAAAAUGCUAAAUUUAAGAUUUGUGAUCCGAUUCAUACGAUACUAAAGAACAUUAUCAAAAUUUGUCAUAUGAAAAGCUUUCAACAACAAUUACCUCCAUAUCCAGCUAAUAGUUACAGCUCCCAGGUAGAAGAAGUCUUCAAUGGUGAUUGAAUCAUGACAUCUGUGAGAUUUUAGAUGUUCGAAUGAUUUCAACCCGUACUUGAUAGUGUUACACGAUUAAUACGAUAUGGAGGUAAGGUUGUGAAGGUGAGGUGUUCCCAGCGAUUUGUAGGAGACAACUAUGAGUUUCAUGAAGUGAAGAAGGAGAAGAUGAAUCGAUUUGGGAAAGUAGA